GACGAACGCUGGCGGCGUGCUUAACACAUGCAAGUCGAACGCUGAAGCUCAGCUUUUGUUGGGUGGAUGAGUGGCGAACGGGUGAGUAACACGUGAGUAACCUGCCCCCUUCUUUGGGGUAACGCCCGGAAACGGGUGCUAAUACUGGAUAUUCACUGGUCUUCGCAUGGGGGUUGGUGGAAAGGGUUUUUCUGGUGGGGGAUGGGCUCGCGGCCUAUCAGCUUGUUGGUGGGGUGAUGGCCUACCAAGGCUUUGACGGGUAGCCGGCCUGAGAGGGUGACCGGUCACAUUGGGACUGAGAUACGGCCCAGACUCCUACGGGAGGCAGCAGUGGGGAAUAUUGCACAAUGGGCGCAAGCCUGAUGCAGCGACGCCGCGUGAGGGAUGGAGGCCUUCGGGUUGUGAACCUCUUUCGCUCAUGGUCAAGCCGCAACAAUGGUUGUGGUGAGGGUAGUGGGUAAAGAAGCGCCGGCUAACUACGUG
This 483-nucleotide ribosomal RNA is filed under the name uncultured bacterium. Its description in RNAcentral is "partial 16S ribosomal RNA". It matches the Rfam family "Bacterial small subunit ribosomal RNA", at positions 28 to 507 of the family's 1533-position model. The record is from RNAcentral.